UAAUACGUAGGGUGCAAGCGUUAAUCGGAAUUACUGGGCGUAAAGCGUGCGCAGGCGGUUUUGUAAGUCUGAUGUGAAAGCCCCGGGCUCAACCUGGGAAUUGCAUUGGAGACUGCAAGGCUUGAAUCUGGCAGAGGGGGGUAGAAUUCCACGUGUAGCAGUGAAAUGCGUAGAGAUGUGGAGGAACACCGAUGGCGAAGGCAGCCCCCUGGGUCAAGAUUGACGCUCAUGCACGAAAGCGUGGGGAGCAAACAGGAUUAGAUACCCUGGUAGUCCACGCCCUAAACGAUGUCUACUAGUUGUCGGGUUUUAAUUAACUUGGUAACGCAGCUAACGCGUGAAGUAGACCGCCUGGGGAGUACGGUCGCAAGAUUAAAACUCAAAGGAAUUGACGG
Molecule: ribosomal RNA, 395 nt
Filed under: uncultured bacterium
Lineage: Bacteria
Description: bacterial SSU rRNA
Rfam family: Bacterial small subunit ribosomal RNA
Source: RNAcentral